CAGCAGCCGCGGUAAUACGUAGGAGGCGAGCGUUAUCCGGAUUCACUGGGCGUAAAGCGCGUGCAGGCGGUUCGGUAAGUUGGGCGUGAAAUCUCCUGGCUUAACUAGGAGAGGUCGUUCAAUACUACCGGACUUGAGAGUGGUAGAGGAAGAUGGAAUUCCCGGUGUAGUGGUGAAAUGCGUAGAUAUCGGGAGGAACACCAGUGGCGAAAGCGAUCUUCUGGACCAUUUCUGACGCUCAGACGCGAAAGCUAGGGUAGUAAACGGGAUUAGAGACCCCGGUAAUCCUAGCCGUAAACGAUGUUAACUUGGCGUUGGUGGCUUAAACUCCAUCAGUGCCGUAGCAAACGCGAUAAGUUAACCGCCUGGGGACUACGAUCGCAAGAUUAAAACUCAAAG
This 399-nucleotide ribosomal RNA is filed under the name uncultured bacterium. RNAcentral describes it as "bacterial SSU rRNA". It matches the Rfam family "Bacterial small subunit ribosomal RNA", at positions 509 to 906 of the family's 1533-position model. The record is from RNAcentral.